Podarcis lilfordi (Lilford's wall lizard) is the source of this 66-nucleotide non-coding RNA. NCBI's taxonomy places the organism in Eukaryota, Metazoa, Chordata, Lepidosauria, Squamata, Lacertidae. The record is from the annotation of a GenBank genome assembly.
GAGCUCAGUUGGUAGAGCAUGAAAUUUUUAAUCUCAGGGUCAUGGGUUCAAGCCCUAGGUUGGGCA